Molecule: long non-coding RNA, 1372 nt
Organism: Anolis sagrei ordinatus
Lineage: Eukaryota; Metazoa; Chordata; Lepidosauria; Squamata; Anolidae
Source: RefSeq, a predicted model, not a curated record
CAAGGGGGAAGGCUUUGGCCCCCGCCUCGCCUGCUUUCGCUCCAAAUUUAGCAGCCAACCGGCUCCGAGGAGGACCUUCCCCAAAAGCAGCAGUCAAACUUAUUGUCUGGAGAUGCUUUGGUGAAGAAGGAUGACCAUUUAUUGAACAGCAACAGAGCUAACUGAAAAGGGGGUUUGAUCCUGCUAUGAGGGGAAGGAGUCCGCUGUCUGGAGCAGGGUCCUUAAUAAGCUUCUGGAUCUGAAAAAGACAUUGAAUUGUAGAGUUGGAAGAGGCCACAAAGACCAUUCAGUCUAUCCCCCUGCCAUGCAGGAACCCACAAUCAGAGCAUUCCUGACAGAUGGUCAUCCAGCCUCUGCUUAAAAACCUUAAGAGAAGGAGACUCCGCCAUCCUCAAAGAAAUCUCCAGUCAACAUGAUUGAGAAUAUGAGACCCUCCAGAAAGUUGGACUGCUACUUCCCAGCCAGCAUAAUCAAGGAUGAUUGUGCAAUCCAACAACAUCUGAAUGGUCAUAAACUCCUCAACUAUGGAUUCCGGUUUCUAUUUGGAAAUCUGUAAACUUAUCUUACAUCCAAAAAGCCACUUAUUAUUUCAAAAAGAAGGUUUGGAGGAGCUUAAAAGAGGCAAAACAAACCAAAAAUACCUGUUCUGUGGCACAGGUAUCAUGAACUAGCGUCUGCCACAUCAACUGGAUCAACUGUUAUCUUUAUUUGCCAACAGUAUUUAUAUAUUGUUAUCUCCCUCAUGUGAACGUGGACACGUGAGUGCCAAGGGGAAAAACGGGAAACAGGCCAUGGUUGUGGCAACUAGCUUAUUUGUCAUGUCUAUGCAAAGAUCAAGGGCAGGGAAUGGAAAGGGAUAGAGAGGACUACAGUGUCCAAAAUCCCUCAAACACCAGUCAGGGUAUUCUGGUAGUUGUGGCCUGUCAUCCAUAGACAUUUGCAGUUUUGAUUUUUUUGCAGAUUUGAUUUAAAAGGUUUCUAUCUAGGUCCUCCAGUGCAAUUCUAUAGUCUACUUCCAGUGAAGUCAACCACAGACUCAUGCUAGAAGACCUAGUAACUCCUAGAGAACUUCUAGAUCUUUCAGCUAGUAAAAGAAAAGAAAAAGGUAAAGUCUUUCCCCUGACACGAAGUCCAGUCAUGUCAGACUCUGGGGGUUGGUGCUCAUCUCUAUUUUCUAAGCUGAAGAGCUGGUGUUGUCCAUAAACACCUCCAAGGUCAUGUGACUGGCAUGACUGCAUGGAGUGUCGUUACCUUACUGCCAGAGCAGUACCUAUUGAUCUCCUCACAUUUUGCAUGUUUUCAAACUGCUAGGUUGGCAGAAGCUGGGGCUAACAGCGGGAGCUCAUGCCGCUCCUCGGAUUCAAAUCUGCGA